UAAUACGGAGGGUGCAAGCGUUGUUCGGAUUCACUGGGUAUAAAGGGUGCGCAGGCGGCCUGGUAAGUCAGGGGUGAAAUAUGACGGCUCAACCGUCAAACUGCCCCUGAAACUGUCAGGCUUGAGUCCGGGAGAGGAAGGUGGAAUUCCAGGUGUAGCGGUGAAAUGCGUAAAUAUCUGGAGGAACACCGGUGGCGAAGGCGGCCUUCUGGCCCGGAACUGACGCUCAGGCACGAAAGCUAGGGGAGCGAACGGGAUUAGAUACCCCGGUAGUCCUAGCCGUAAACGAUGGGUACUAGGUGUUGGAGGAUUCUACCCCUUCGGUGCCGCAGCUAACGCAUUAAGUACCCCACCUGGGGAGUACGAUCGCAAGGUUG
RNAcentral lists this ribosomal RNA (377 nucleotides) under uncultured Bacteroidota bacterium. RNAcentral describes it as "bacterial SSU rRNA". It matches the Rfam family "Bacterial small subunit ribosomal RNA", at positions 521 to 896 of the family's 1533-position model. Lineage: Bacteria; Pseudomonadati; Bacteroidota. The record is from RNAcentral.